GCGCAGCAGUCGAGAAUUUUUCUCAAUGGGGGCAACCCUGAAGGAGCGACGCCGCGUGGAGGAUGAAGGCUUUCGGGUUGUAAACUCCUGUCAUUUGAGAACAAGUGGCCGAAAUUAACUACUUCGGCCUUGAUAGUAUCAGGAGAGGAAGGGACGGCUAACUCUGUGCCAGCAGCCGCGGUAAUACAGAGGUCCCGAGCGUUGUUCGGAUUCAUUGGGCGUAAAGGGUGCGUAGGUGGCGCCGUAAGUGGGGUGUGAAAUCCCGGGGCUUAACCCCGGGACUGCAUUCCAUACUGCGGUGCUUGAGGACUGGAGAGGAGACUGGAAUUUACGGUGUAGCAGUGAAAUCGCGUAGAGAUACGG
RNAcentral lists this ribosomal RNA (363 nucleotides) under uncultured organism. RNAcentral's name for it is "bacterial SSU rRNA". It matches the Rfam family "Bacterial small subunit ribosomal RNA", at positions 346 to 701 of the family's 1533-position model. The record is from RNAcentral.